CAGUAGCCGCGGUAAUACGUAGGGUGCAAGCGUUAAUCGGAAUUACUGGGCGUAAGGCGUGCGCAGGCGGUGUUGUAAGACUGAUGUGAAAUCCCCGGGCUCAACCUGGGAACUGCAUUGGUGACUGCAACGCUGGAGUGCGGCAGAGGGGGAUGGAAUUCCGCGUGUAGCAGUGAAAUGCGUAGAUAUGCGGAGGAACACCGAUGGCGAAGGCAAUCCCCUGGGCCUGCACUGACGCUCAUGCACGAAAGCGUGGGGAGCAAACAGGAUUAGAUACCCCUGUAGUCGCUGUCUCUUAUAC
This 301-nucleotide ribosomal RNA is filed under the name uncultured bacterium. Its description in RNAcentral is "partial 16S ribosomal RNA". It matches the Rfam family "Bacterial small subunit ribosomal RNA", at positions 509 to 812 of the family's 1533-position model. The record is from RNAcentral.